AGAGUUAGAUCCUGGCUCAGGACGAACGCUGGCGGCGUGCUUAACACAUGCAAGUCGAACGAUGAACCUGGAGCUUGCUCUAGGGAAUUAGUGGCGAACGGGUGAGUAACACGUGAGUAACCUGCCCUUGACUCUGGGAUAACCUCCGGAAACGGAAGCUAAUACCGGAUAUGACGCACGGAGGCAUCUCCUGUGCGUGGAAAGAACUUCGGUCAAGGAUGGACUCGCGGCCUAUCAGGUAGUUGGUGAGGUAACGGCUCACCAAGCCUACGACGGGUAGCCGGCCUGAGAGGGUGACCGGCCACACUGGGACUGAGACACGGCCCAGACUCCUACGGGAGGCAGCAGUGGGGAAUAUUGCACAAUGGGCGCAAGCCUGAUGCAGCAACGCCGCGUGAGGGACGACGGCCUUCGGGUUGUAAACCUCUUUUAGUAGGGAAGAAGCGAAAGNGACGGACCUGCAGAAAAAG
RNAcentral lists this ribosomal RNA (470 nucleotides) under uncultured organism. RNAcentral's name for it is "bacterial SSU rRNA". It matches the Rfam family "Bacterial small subunit ribosomal RNA", at positions 8 to 490 of the family's 1533-position model. The record is from RNAcentral.